CAAUAGCGUAUAUUAAAGUUGUUGCAGUUAAAAAGCUCGUAGUUGGACUUCUGCGGGUGGCGGCCGGUCGUGCUCGAAACGGGCGUGAACUUGGCGUGCUGCCCGCAUCUUUGGGGAGAUUGUGCGUGGCAUUAAGUUGUCGUGCAUGGGAUUCUCAUCAUUUACUGUGAAAAAAUUAGAGUGUUUAAAGCAGGCCUUUGCCUUGAAUACAUUAGCAUGGAAUAAUAAGAUAGGACCGUUGUCUAUUUUGUUGGUUUACGGAUGUCGGUAAUGAUUAAUAGGGAUAGUUGGGGGUAUUCGUAUUCAGUUGUCAGAGGUGAAAUUCUUGGAUUUUCGGAAGACGCACGACUGCGAAAGCAUUUACCAAGGAUGUUUUCAUUAA
RNAcentral lists this ribosomal RNA (382 nucleotides) under uncultured eukaryote. RNAcentral's name for it is "partial 18S ribosomal RNA". It matches the Rfam family "Eukaryotic small subunit ribosomal RNA", at positions 592 to 976 of the family's 1831-position model. The record is from RNAcentral.